This is a long non-coding RNA of Bolinopsis microptera, 966 nucleotides long. RefSeq lists it as uncharacterized. Lineage: Eukaryota; Metazoa; Ctenophora; Tentaculata; Lobata; Bolinopsidae. The transcript has 2 exons. The record is from RefSeq and is a predicted model, not a curated record.
UAACAUCAGUCAGUUUCUAGAUUCGGUUUCACUGUUAGGGAGCAUGGAGAAUGUCGCAGAUAUCCUGUCUUCUCUGAAUGACAGAAAGAAUAAGGAAGGGAAAAGGAUAAUCGAAACAGUGCGUAAUGCAAUGGAAGUCCUGAUGUCAGAAAUGUACAUGCUUUUGGAUAAUCCUAACGAAUUGGUGAAAGUGCUAAAGAUUCUGCGGCGUAUUGGUUCUGUUGACUUAACACUUAUUGUGGACGUCUUUUGUGACUGGGCAAAAUCUCACCCAGAAGCGAUGAAGAAGUUGACUGAGACACUGCAAUAUGCAAGUGAAGCAUUUUGGGGUAAACUUGACUCUAUUGGAAUCAACGUCAAUGCUUUAAAGAGACUGAUCGAAAUUUUGUACAAAAAUGGUGAUAUCAUAUUUGAUAAGCCGAUGUUGCUUAAGUUGAUCAGAGCUUUGUGGAAAAAUGAAGAUAAGGAUAAAAAUAGCGAUCAAAAUAAGUGCAGCUCUGGGAAAUUGAUGAGCAAGCUUUAGUAAAUUUUAUGUGAUAAGAACAAAAUGUAUCCUCCUACAAUGGCCACACAUUUGUCCAAAAUCCUUAUACAUUUUAUAGAGCACUCACUUUUACAAGGAAUUUGUCGAAUGAAAUAUCCCCUUACAGCUAGAGUCGUUUCGGGUUGAAACGUUUUUAUAUUUUAAAGAAAAAAAGCUGAUGAAGCUGUUAGUUGAACAUUUUGAUUUGAUUUAAUUCGUAUUUGUUCAACUUUUAAAUGAUAUAUUACAUAUUACAUUAUACUUAAACAUAUUACUGAUUGUAUAUUAUCAUUAUAUGUAACAUUUUGGGGCCAAUUUAAAAGUAGUUUUAACAGAAACAUUCUUCACAGUUAACACUCAGGAUGUUGCAGCACAAUAUUUGAAAUUUUGAGAUUUGUGUGACAUUUUUAGUACCUUUUAGUACUCUUACUUAUAAUUCGAAA